CUUAGGUUAUGGGGACAAGGAAGUCACCGGUGAUGAAGGUUUAGAAUCCCGUGAUAAGCGAAGCGAGGAAAUCAYAGGAGAUGAUGGUGCUGAAUCUGUAAUAAUUGGAGAAGCAGGAGCAGUACGAGGAAUGGAAUAGGGCUCAACKAUAGUGAUAGGAAUGUCGGGAAAAGUAGAGRUAACACAUCCUCCACUAAAAAGGUCGGGGAUGAUGGCCACACGCAGCAGGGACGAGACUCACUAAAACUCAUACCGUGAGAAAUAGUCACCCGAUGACCAACCUGAUCCCAACAACAAUAUCUCUUAUGGUCAUUGUUGUAUCCUAUGAACACUCAACAUACUAAGUAGUAAGUUUGGUACAUUGACGAGAGGCAGUAAGGGCACAUCAAACACAAA
Molecule: long non-coding RNA, 396 nt
Filed under: Hordeum vulgare
Lineage: Eukaryota; Viridiplantae; Streptophyta; Magnoliopsida; Poales; Poaceae
Description: long non-coding RNA (HVUL_LNC019581)
Source: RNAcentral